RNAcentral lists this ribosomal RNA (333 nucleotides) under uncultured eukaryote. RNAcentral's name for it is "partial 18S ribosomal RNA". It matches the Rfam family "Eukaryotic small subunit ribosomal RNA", at positions 1470 to 1796 of the family's 1831-position model. The record is from RNAcentral.
CCCUUAGAUGUUCUGGGCCGCACGCGCGCUACACUGAUGCAUUCAACGAGUCUAAAACCUGCUCUGAUAGGGGUGGGUAAUCUUUUGAAUGUGCAUCGUGAUUGGGAUAGAUGAUUGCAAUUUUUCAUCUUCAACGAGGAAUGCCUAGUAAACGCAAGUCAUCAGCUUGCAUUGAUUACGUGCCUGCCCUUUGUACACACCGCCCGUCGCUACUACCGAUUGAAUGGUUUAGUGAGAUCUCCGGAUUGGCGGCCUUGGUACCUUCACGGGUCCAACGGUUCUGCCGAGAAGCUGCUCGAACUUGAUCAUUUAGAGGAAGUAAAAGUCGUAACA